GAUGAACGCUGGCGGCGUGCUUAACACAUGCAAGUCGAACGGAGAGCCAAUGACGGAGUUUUCGGACAACGGAUUUGGUUUCUUAGUGGCGGACGGGUGAGUAACGCGUGAGCAACCUGCCUUGGAGUGGGGAAUAACAGCUGGAAACAGUUGCUAAUACCGCAUAAUGCAGCGAGGGGACAUCCUCUUGCUGCCAAAGAUUUAUCGCUCUGAGAUGGACUCGCGUCUGAUUAGCUAGUUGGCGGGGUAACGGCCCACCAAGGCGACGAUCAGUAGCCGGACUGAGAGGUUGACCGGCCACAAGGGGACUGAGACACGGCCCUU
Molecule: ribosomal RNA, 324 nt
Filed under: uncultured bacterium
Lineage: Bacteria
Description: bacterial SSU rRNA
Rfam family: Bacterial small subunit ribosomal RNA
Source: RNAcentral